This 809-nucleotide long non-coding RNA is filed under the name Piliocolobus tephrosceles (Ugandan red Colobus). Its description in RNAcentral is "lncRNA (ENSPTEG00000032545.1)". The record is from RNAcentral. Lineage: Eukaryota; Metazoa; Chordata; Mammalia; Primates; Cercopithecidae.
CCAAGAGUUUUUUAGGCAGUUUGAAAGCUUAAGCUGUUGCAGGGCUAUCCUCUGUCAGCUGCUUCUCAGAAGACCAAGAGCUUAGGCUGUGGCUGUGCCUCAUCCCAUUAGCCUUAGAGCUAAUCUCCGGCCAACACCGGCACCGCCCUCUAGUGUCUAGGGACAGUACACGUCAUGCCGUCAGGGAUCUCUGUAGUAUUGGUCAAACCAUCUCUCUCCACAGCCUUUCCUAUAAAGAUGUAUUAGAUGCUGUGUUGCCUGCUGUGAUAAUUAAUUUUAUGCAUCAAUGUGACUAAGCCACAGAAUACUCAGAAAUCUGGCAGACAUUAUCCACAAUGUGUCUGUGAGGGUGUUCUGGAUCAGAUUAACACUUUCAAUCAAUUGAAGACCUGAAUGUAACAAAAAGACUGAGUAAAAAGGUACUCCUUUUUACUGACUACCUCAAACUGGGACAGCAGUCUUUUCCUGUCUUCUAACUUGAAUUGAAACAUCAAAACUUCUUGGGUGCCAAGUCUGCUGACUUUUGACCUGGAAUCACACUAUCAGCUGUCCUGUUUUUCAAGCUUUUGGACUCAAACUAGAACUUGUACCAUUGGCUCUCCUGGUUGGCAGGCCUUUGGAUUCAGACUGGUGUUACACCAGAUUGUGGGACUUCUCAGCUUUUAUAAUGAUGUGAGCCAACUCCUUAUAAUACAUAUGUCAUAUGAGGAAAAUUUAUUAUAAGGAGUUGGCUGACACAAUUUGAGGGGACUUCAAAAAUUCAUUAAAAAUUCAAAGACAAAAAUAAAGCAUAUCAACUUUAUUGCUCA